UUUGUGCACGACUCUUGCAAGUCUUUGUUGCUGCUGAUGCAUUGCUGGAUGUUUGUUAUGAUGUAUUUCGGCUAGUGGUUGUAGCUCAUGUAUCCGGAUUCUACAGCAAGAUUACGUCACAGCAUGCACCUGUUGGCAAAGUUUGGAUGAUUGUGUGGUUUGUAAAUUGACGACGUUAUGUGACAUGGUAUGCUACAUUAUACUUGCAGCGAGCUGGUCUGUUUUGGAUUGUGGCAGUAAUCACUCAACUAUGUUAUGCCAUUGUUUUAUUUGGCCAUGGAUAACUUGGCAUAGUAAUAGUGAUAUCAUGCUAGGCGUUUUUGCAGGUUCAAUGUCGCACAAUGGGCUUGGCCAAGGCUUGGAGAAAAAGCUGCAAAAAUAAGUGAUUCUGAACUCUGGUGAUGGAGCAUGACCAAUUGAGGUUUAGGUCCCUUUUUUUAGGAAAUGGUCAAUAGCCGGUUUGUUGGAAUUUGGCCAACCUUUGUAGAGGAUUUGUCAAUUCCUUAUGAUUUUGUAAUGAUGAUUUGUAAAAUGGAAUUUCUGAAAAGUGAAUUGUAAUCGUAUGAUUUUUAAAGGUGUAUGAAACAUUUUUUCUCUGUGAAGUGAAAUGUACACAGAAAAUGGUUAUGGAAUUCAGGAUUGCCUCAAAUUAGUGUUGUAUGCAAGAUGCUUUUGCCGGAGGUUGAACCCGGCUGCAAUUUGCCUUCGCCGCGACAUCAUUAUUUCACAGCUUGCCUUGUGUUGUAGUUUGGAUCAUUU
Molecule: long non-coding RNA, 759 nt
Filed under: Lathyrus oleraceus (garden pea)
Lineage: Eukaryota; Viridiplantae; Streptophyta; Magnoliopsida; Fabales; Fabaceae
Description: Pisum sativum (pea) long non-coding RNA (PSAT_LNC000762)
Source: RNAcentral